UUGCAGAGGAUCCAGUAGGCAAGGGCGU
This 28-nucleotide non-coding RNA is filed under the name Rattus norvegicus (Norway rat). Lineage: Eukaryota; Metazoa; Chordata; Mammalia; Rodentia; Muridae. The record is from RNAcentral.